CCGGUCUGAACUCAGAUCAUGUAAGAAUUUAAAGGUCGAACAGACCUAUAAAAUUAAGCAGCUACACCUAACCAAAAUCUUAAUCCAACAUCGAGGUCGCAAGCCCCUUCGCAAAUAAGAACUCCAAAAAGGGAUUACGCUGUUAUCCCUAAGGUAACUUAAACUAAUAAUCAUUAAUAAUGGAUCAAAAUAAACAUAAAUAAAUGAAAACAAAAAUAUAAAAGUUAAUCAAAUUCAAAUUGUCACCCCAACAAAACAAAUAAAAAUAAAAACAAAAAAAUAAACAAAAUAAGAUAAUUAUAUUAAAUGUAAAGCUCUAUAGGGUCUUCUCGUCUACCAAUACUAGUUUAAAGCCUUUUAACCAAAAAGUAAAAUUCAAAAAAUAAAACUGAGACAGUUAACACCUCGUCAAACCCUUCAUACCAGCUCCCUAUUAAAGAACUAAUGAUUAUGCUACCUUUGCACGGUCAAAAUACCGCGGCCGUUAAAUUAAAAUCACUGGGCAGGCCAAACCUCCUAAAUAAACAAGAGGAC
RNAcentral lists this ribosomal RNA (534 nucleotides) under Drepanosticta carmichaeli. RNAcentral's name for it is "partial 16S ribosomal RNA". The record is from RNAcentral. Lineage: Eukaryota; Metazoa; Arthropoda; Insecta; Odonata; Platystictidae.